UACGUAGGCAGCAAGCGUUGUUCGGAAUUACUGGGCGUAAAGAGUGUGUAGGCGGUGCUCUAAGUCUGUUGUGAAAUCUCCCGGCCUUAACCGGGAGGGUGCGGCGGAAACUGGAGUGCUUGAGGGUGGGAGAGGUAAGCGGAAUUCCCGGUGUAGUGGUGGAAUGCGUAGAGAUGUGGAGGAACACCUAUGGCGAAGGCAGCUCUCUGGGACGGUACUGACGCUGAGACGCGAAAGCGUGGGGAGCGAACAGG
This 254-nucleotide ribosomal RNA is filed under the name uncultured bacterium. RNAcentral describes it as "partial 16S ribosomal RNA". It matches the Rfam family "Bacterial small subunit ribosomal RNA", at positions 524 to 776 of the family's 1533-position model. The record is from RNAcentral.